UACGUAGGGUCCGAGCGUUGUCCGGAAUUACUGGGCGUAAAGAGCUCGUAGGUGGUUUGUCGCGUUGUUCGUGAAAACUCACAGCUUAACUGUGGGCGUGCGGGCGAUACGGGCAGACUAGAGUACUGCAGGGGAGACUGGAAUUCCUGGUGUAGCGGUGGAAUGCGCAGAUAUCAGGAGGAACACCGGUGGCGAAGGCGGUUCUCUGGGCAUUACCUGACGCUGAGGAGCGAAAGUGUGGGGAGCGAACAGG
This 253-nucleotide ribosomal RNA is filed under the name uncultured bacterium. RNAcentral describes it as "partial 16S ribosomal RNA". It matches the Rfam family "Bacterial small subunit ribosomal RNA", at positions 524 to 776 of the family's 1533-position model. The record is from RNAcentral.